Molecule: ribosomal RNA, 1492 nt
Filed under: Lactiplantibacillus plantarum subsp. plantarum
Lineage: Bacteria; Bacillati; Bacillota; Bacilli; Lactobacillales; Lactobacillaceae
Description: Lactobacillus plantarum subsp. plantarum 16S ribosomal RNA
Rfam family: Bacterial small subunit ribosomal RNA
Source: RNAcentral
GACGAACGCUGGCGGCGUGCCUAAUACAUGCAAGUCGAACGAACUCUGGUAUUGAUUGGUGCUUGCAUCAUGAUUUACAUUUGAGUGAGUGGCGAACUGGUGAGUAACACGUGGGAAACCUGCCCAGAAGCGGGGGAUAACACCUGGAAACAGAUGCUAAUACCGCAUAACAACUUGGACCGCAUGGUCCGAGUUUGAAAGAUGGCUUCGGCUAUCACUUUUGGAUGGUCCCGCGGCGUAUUAGCUAGAUGGUGNGGUAACGGCUCACCAUGGCAAUGAUACGUAGCCGACCUGAGAGGGUAAUCGGCCACAUUGGGACUGAGACACGGCCCAAACUCCUACGGGAGGCAGCAGUAGGGAAUCUUCCACAAUGGACGAAAGUCUGAUGGAGCAACGCCGCGUGAGUGAAGAAGGGUUUCGGCUCGUAAAACUCUGUUGUUAAAGAAGAACAUAUCUGAGAGUAACUGUUCAGGUAUUGACGGUAUUUAACCAGAAAGCCACGGCUAACUACGUGCCAGCAGCCGCGGUAAUACGUAGGUGGCAAGCGUUGUCCGGAUUUAUUGGGCGUAAAGCGAGCGCAGGCGGUUUUUUAAGUCUGAUGUGAAAGCCUUCGGCUCAACCGAAGAAGUGCAUCGGAAACUGGGAAACUUGAGUGCAGAAGAGGACAGUGGAACUCCAUGUGUAGCGGUGAAAUGCGUAGAUAUAUGGAAGAACACCAGUGGCGAAGGCGGCUGUCUGGUCUGUAACUGACGCUGAGGCUCGAAAGUAUGGGUAGCAAACAGGAUUAGAUACCCUGGUAGUCCAUACCGUAAACGAUGAAUGCUAAGUGUUGGAGGGUUUCCGCCCUUCAGUGCUGCAGCUAACGCAUUAAGCAUUCCGCCUGGGGAGUACGGCCGCAAGGCUGAAACUCAAAGGAAUUGACGGGGGCCCGCACAAGCGGUGGAGCAUGUGGUUUAAUUCGAAGCUACGCGAAGAACCUUACCAGGUCUUGACAUACUAUGCAAAUCUAAGAGAUUAGACGUUCCCUUCGGGGACAUGGAUACAGGUGGUGCAUGGUUGUCGUCAGCUCGUGUCGUGAGAUGUUGGGUUAAGUCCCGCAACGAGCGCAACCCUUAUUAUCAGUUGCCAGCAUUAAGUUGGGCACUCUGGUGAGACUGCCGGUGACAAACCGGAGGAAGGUGGGGAUGACGUCAAAUCAUCAUGCCCCUUAUGACCUGGGCUACACACGUGCUACAAUGGAUGGUACAACGAGUUGCGAACUCGCGAGAGUAAGCUAAUCUCUUAAAGCCAUUCUCAGUUCGGAUUGUAGGCUGCAACUCGCCUACAUGAAGUCGGAAUCGCUAGUAAUCGCGGAUCAGCAUGCCGCGGUGAAUACGUUCCCGGGCCUUGUACACACCGCCCGUCACACCAUGAGAGUUUGUAACACCCAAAGUCGGUGGGGUAACCUUUUAGGAACCAGCCGCCUAAGGUGGGACAGAUGAUUAGGGUGAAG